GAUCUUGAUAAGUUGUCUUCUUGCUGCAUUCUCUGCUCUGUGCUAUUUCUAAGCCAUGCCAGUGGCUUUGAAAAUCCAGGAUCUCCUGACCUUGGUGCACAAGGAACAGGAGGAGCCGUGAGCUGCUGGACGGAACAUGGACCAGGACUUCAAAAGCUGGACCUUUUCCAAAACCCCUUAUUAUUACCCCGACGCGUUCCCCUGGGAUCUGGGACCUCUGAAACCACCGCGGAGCGUGCACAGGAAUCUGUGCAGGCGGCAGAAGGCUGUAAAACCUCGCUCACAGCCUCGAGAGUCGCCGGGACGGACAUAAAACCCGAUGUUCGCGUAAAGAUCCCCGCGAGUCUAAGCAGAGGCGUUUAUUCGUCCCUGCGGACGCCACAGGCGGGGGGGGGGUGGGGCGCGGUUACGGCGCAGACAGAAAAGUCUCUUCCACCGGACCCAAAGUUAAAGCUUUUAAUUGGUCCAAAAGAGGAGGAUGAGACAGUGAUUUUUGAGUUUUUUCCACCCGAAGGUGAACAGGGCGGGGAUGGGGUAUCCUUUACCUGCUACCGGGAAGCGGAGCUCGCCCCUGAAGGCGUGGUUUCCCCGCCCCUUCCAGCUCGAAUCGCGGCAGAGCCACCCGUAGCGAUUCAGACGGCGUAAGCCCCUACCCGUCGAUUCGGGGGUCCUGCCACCCGACCAGCCAUGCGCGCAGCCAGGGCCGGUCCCGGAGCCAGCGCCCAUCCCCGCUGCGGCCCCGGCGCGCCCCGAGGCCAGGUUCACUUCCGCGUUCGAACUGCGCGCCGGCCUCUGACGUCAUCGCGCCCGCCGCAGCCGAUUCCGCUUUAGACCCUCCCGCUCCCGCGCCUGCGCCGUGCGGCCCGGCCCGGCCGCCCCGGGAGCCGCGGCUGCCCCGGUAACAGCGAUCGGCUGGGCCGCAGCCGGUUCUCGGCGGAACCCGCCCCCACCCCUGGCUCCAGCCACGUUCCCGGCCCCCGCCAGGCCGCUGUACCAGUGCCCAGCCCCGGCAUGUCUGGCCCUAACCCAUCCCCAGCCCCGGUCCCGGCUGCCCCCCCACGCAGUGCGGGAAGGAGGCGGCGCAGCCGUGGCGCCGGCUUGGCCCGUCGGCUCUGCACCUACAGCCGGCAGUACGAUUCCUACGGCAGCCGCAGCCCCACCGGGAAGCCUUCAGCAGCUGCUGCUUCAGCCUUCAGCCUUGCAUCGUCUCAGCCUACGUCUGCAGCGCAACCAGCCUCCACCAUCCCACCAACAAAGCCAUCUGCUGUUCAGCACCACGCUGCAGCAGACCUUCAGCCCACUGGAUCGGCAUGACAACUGCAAAAUGUUAAACCUUAUGUUACAUAAAGCACAGGACAAUUAAACACUAUCCUAUCUCCACAAGAAAUGAAGGACUUUUUAAAAUCUGUUUUAACUCCUUGUCCAGGACAACAAGAUCAGGCUUAUAUCGUCCCUGUUAUAAGGGAAGUCUCGGAUUGAGACAUGUAAUUUCAAGCACAUUCUCCACAAACUUUUGACGGAUAUUUAUCUGAACCUAUGGGACCCUUUCCACCAGAAGCUCCUGUUCAACAUCUUAGUUGCGAGGAUAUGGUGAGUGUCACAGCUUCAGAAGGCAUUCCUAUAUCUUCUCAAGCCUCGUCUUAUUUUUCUACCACAGGCA
RNAcentral lists this long non-coding RNA (1660 nucleotides) under Corvus moneduloides (New Caledonian crow). Its description in RNAcentral is "lncRNA (ENSCMUG00000017121.1)". Lineage: Eukaryota; Metazoa; Chordata; Aves; Passeriformes; Corvidae. The record is from RNAcentral.